RNAcentral lists this ribosomal RNA (761 nucleotides) under Prevotella melaninogenica. RNAcentral describes it as "bacterial SSU rRNA". It matches the Rfam family "Bacterial small subunit ribosomal RNA", at positions 28 to 776 of the family's 1533-position model. Lineage: Bacteria; Pseudomonadati; Bacteroidota; Bacteroidia; Bacteroidales; Prevotellaceae. The record is from RNAcentral.
GAUGAACGCUAGCUACAGGCUUAACACAUGCAAGUCGAGGGGAAACGGCAUUUAGUGCUUGCACCGAAUGGACGUCGACCGGCGCACGGGUGAGUAACGCGUAUCCAACCUACCCAUUACUGUGGGAUAACCUGCCGAAAGGCAGACUAAUACCGCAUAGUCUUCGAUGACGGCAUCAGAUUUGAAGUAAAGAUUUAUCGGUAAUGGAUGGGGAUGCGUCUGAUUAGCUUGUUGGCGGGGUAACAGCCCACCAAGGCAACGAUCAGUAGGGGUUCUGAGAGGAAGGUCCCCCACAUUGGAACUGAGACACGGUCCAAACUCCUACGGGAGGCAGCAGUGAGGAAUAUUGGUCAAUGGGCGCGAGCCUGAACCAGCCAAGUAGCGUGCAGGAUGACGGCCCUAUGGGUUGUAAACUGCUUUUGUAUGGGGAUAAAGUCAAUCACGUGUGAUUGUUUGCAGGUACCAUACGAAUAAGGACCGGCUAAUUCCGUGCCAGCAGCCGCGGUAAUACGGAAGGUCCAGGCGUUAUCCGGAUUUAUUGGGUUUAAAGGGAGCGUAGGCCGGAGAUUAAGUGUGUUGUGAAAUGUAGACGCUCAACGUCUGACUUGCAGCGCAUACUGGUUUCCUUGAGUACGCACAACGUUGGCGGAAUUCGUCGUGUAGCGGUGAAAUGCUUAGAUAUGACGAAGAACUCCGAUUGCGAAGGCAGCUGACGGGAGCGCAACUGACGCUUAAGCUCGAAGGUGUGGGUAUCGAACAGG